RNAcentral lists this ribosomal RNA (226 nucleotides) under Clostridium senegalense. RNAcentral describes it as "partial 16S ribosomal RNA". Lineage: Bacteria; Bacillati; Bacillota; Clostridia; Eubacteriales; Clostridiaceae. The record is from RNAcentral.
CUACAUGAAGCCGGAGUUGCUAGUAAUCGCGAAUCAGCAUGUCGCGGUGAAUACGUUCCCGGGYCUUGUACACACCGCCCGUCACACCAUGAGAGCCGAUAACACCCGAAGUCCGUGAGGUAACCGUAAGGAGCCAGCGGCCGAAGGUGGGAUUGGUGAUUGGGGUGAAGUCGUAACAAGGUAGCCGUAGGAGAACCUGCGGCUGGAUCACCUCCUUUCUAGGGAG